AACGAACGCUUGCGGCGCGCCUAAUACAUGCAAGUCGAACGAGAAAGUUUCUUCGGAAGCGAGUACAGUGGCGGACGGGUGAGGAAUACGUAGAUAAUCUGCCUUAAAGUGGGGGAUAACUACUCGAAAGAGUAGCUAAUACCGCAUAAGACCACAGGAACCGAGGUUCUAGGGGUUAAAGGUUUUUCGCUUUAAGAUGAGUCUGCGUCCGAUUAGCUAGUUGGUAAGGUAACGGCUUACCAAGGCGACGAUCGGUACCUGGUCUGAGAGGAUGAUCAGGCACACUGGAACUGAGACACGGUCCAGACUCCUACGGGAGGCAGCAGUAGGGAAUAUUGCACAAUGGAGGAAACUCUGAUGCAGCGACGCCGCGUGAGUGAUGAAGGCCUUCGGGUUGUAAAACUCUGUGUUAAGGGAAGAUAAUGACGGUACCUUAUCAGAAAGGACCGGCUAACUUCGUGCCAGCAGCCGCCGUAA
RNAcentral lists this ribosomal RNA (477 nucleotides) under uncultured bacterium. Its description in RNAcentral is "partial 16S ribosomal RNA". It matches the Rfam family "Bacterial small subunit ribosomal RNA", at positions 29 to 523 of the family's 1533-position model. The record is from RNAcentral.